AAGAAGAAAAAUGGAUGAGGGGGUAGAGGAGAAAGAUAAAUACUAAAAAUCAAGCCAUAGCGGGUGGUGGGCAGUAGAACAUGAGUUUUGGGUGAUGGCUGAAUGACAGCAUAGAGAUGUAUAUAACAUGCAGCAAUAGUCACACAACAGUAUGGAGAGGAGAAUGAGCAAUCAAGGAGUUGAGAGCCCUAAAAGGGACCAUUUCGAGUAAUUAAAAAAAAAAGUGGUUCAGUUCAGAUCCUUGUAAAGAAAAAAAUUAGACCCAAAAUCAUUUUCUAACAAAAAAAACUAGACCUAAUUGUUUGAAAUAGUGUGGUUUGCAUCUCAAGAUAUGCGGUAUGUACUGGUCGAUACGAAUCAAAUCGGACAAAAUGAAUUCAUCUAAAGUUUUGUUUUUAUCUUUUUAAAAGAGAGAUUUCAUAUUUUUUCAUUAUUUUUUGUUAUGAGUACAUAUGUUUUUAACACCGCCAAUGUCGGUCCCAAGCCCGAAUGAGAAAGGUGGAGGGUUGCACAAGGCCA
RNAcentral lists this long non-coding RNA (519 nucleotides) under Musa acuminata (dwarf banana). RNAcentral's name for it is "long non-coding RNA (MACU_LNC010284)". The record is from RNAcentral. Lineage: Eukaryota; Viridiplantae; Streptophyta; Magnoliopsida; Zingiberales; Musaceae.